UGGGGAAUAUUGCACAAUGGGCGCAAGCCUGAUGCAGCCAUGCCGCGUGUGUGAAGAAGGCCUUCGGGUUGUAAAGCACUUUCAGCGGGGAGGAAGGCGAUAAGGUUAAUAACCUUGUCGAUUGACGUUACCCGCAGAAGAAGCACCGGCUAACUCCGUGCCAGCAGCCGCGGUAAUACGGAGGGUGCAAGCGUUAAUCGGAAUUACUGGGCGUAAAGCGCACGCAGGCGGUUGAUUGAGUCAGAUGUGAAAUCCCCGGGCUUAACCCGGGAAUUGCAUCUGAUACUGGUCAGCUAGAGUCUUGUAGAGGGGGGUAGAAUUCCAUGUGUAGCGGUGAAAUGCGUAGAGAUGUGGGGGAAUACCGGUGGCGAAGGCGGCCCCCUGGACAAAGACUGACGCUCAGGUGCGAAAGCGUGGGGAGCAAACAGG
This 429-nucleotide ribosomal RNA is filed under the name Chloroflexota bacterium. RNAcentral's name for it is "Chloroflexi bacterium partial 16S ribosomal RNA". It matches the Rfam family "Bacterial small subunit ribosomal RNA", at positions 355 to 776 of the family's 1533-position model. Lineage: Bacteria; Bacillati; Chloroflexota. The record is from RNAcentral.